RNAcentral lists this transfer RNA (87 nucleotides) under Ceratobasidium sp. AG-Ba. It matches the Rfam family "tRNA". Rfam says of the family: Transfer RNA (tRNA) molecules are approximately 80 nucleotides in length. The record is from Rfam by way of RNAcentral. Lineage: Eukaryota; Fungi; Basidiomycota; Agaricomycetes; Cantharellales; Ceratobasidiaceae.
GGCUUCAUAGUGUAGUGGUUAUCACCUCGGAUUCUGAGUACCAUGCUCUUUAUUCCGGUAACCCCAGUUCGAGUCUGGGUGGGGCCU